GUGUUCCUCCUCGUCUCAGAUGAUCCAGAUGUUCCUCCAAGUCCAUCCGAAUGCAAAACCCAGAACCAGCUGGUCCAGGUUUACCGCUCAGCCCUCGGAGUCACUGUCCUCGUUGUCCUCGUCAUCGGUUUGGUUUCGCUGUCGUCAUAUUUGAAGAGUAAGAAACGCCUCCGACAGGUGAACGAGCCCCCAGGUGUGGUCUACGAGAACUCAGAGACCCUUCGGACUGUUCAGGUUGAGGAGAUCGACUCUCAGCCAGCGAGACGAUGAAGAAGCUGUGAGCGACGUCUUCGCUCUUCGUCCACAGUUUCUAAACGGGAUAAUGAGCUAAUUAAAAAUGAAACCUUCUUUGUGAUUAGCCUCAAACUAGUUGAUGGUCUUGAAUGUCAACAAACACGUCUAGUUGUUGUGUACCCCAAUAAACAUACGUAACCGUACUCCUGAAAGAA
Long non-coding RNA from Stegastes partitus (bicolor damselfish), 449 nucleotides. RefSeq lists it as uncharacterized. The transcript has 4 exons. Lineage: Eukaryota; Metazoa; Chordata; Actinopteri; Pomacentridae. The record is from RefSeq and is a predicted model, not a curated record.